CACUCCUGCGGGAGGCAGCAGUGGGGAAUUUUGGACAAUGGGCGAAAGCCUGAUCCAGCAAUGCCGCGUGCAGGAUGAAGGCCUUCGGGUUGUAAACUGCUUUUGUACGGAACGAAAAAGCUCCUUCUAAUACAGGGGGCCCAUGACGGUACCGUAAGAAUAAGCACCGGCUAACUACGUGCCAGCAGCCGCGGUAAUACGUAGGGUGCGAGCGUUAAUCGGAAUUACUGGGCGUAAAGCGUGCGCAGGCGGUUAUGUAAGACAGAUGUGAAAUCCCCGGGCUCAACCUGGGAACUGCAUUUGUGACUGCAUGGCUAGAGUACGGUAGAGGGGGAUGGAAUUCCGCGUGUAGCAGUGAAAUGCGUAGAUAUGCGGAGGAACACCGAUGGCGAAGGCAAUCCCCUGGACCUGUACUGACGCUCAUGCACGAAAGCGUGGGGAGCAAACAGGAUUAGAAACCCCAGUAGUCCCAUG
RNAcentral lists this ribosomal RNA (474 nucleotides) under uncultured organism. Its description in RNAcentral is "partial 16S ribosomal RNA". It matches the Rfam family "Bacterial small subunit ribosomal RNA", at positions 334 to 799 of the family's 1533-position model. The record is from RNAcentral.